Equus caballus (horse) is the source of this 1490-nucleotide non-coding RNA. Lineage: Eukaryota; Metazoa; Chordata; Mammalia; Perissodactyla; Equidae. The record is from RefSeq and is a predicted model, not a curated record.
CCGGGGCCGGGGCCGGGGUCUUGGGAGGAAGGGGAGCGCCCAGACUCGGCGCUGAUCGGCGCCGCGGCUCCGCGCCUCGCGCUCUCCUUAUCGUACAGUGUGAGGAGCAGUCGUCGCUGCCUCGCUGCGUUGUGGCGGGAGUUUAAACCGGCCUUCGGAGGUUCACAUAUAUGGAGUCAGAAGUGGGAUCUGAAGGAGGCGACUGCCAAGAUAAAAUGACCCCCAGAAUCUAGCAAGUUACCUGCACUGAGCUCCUUGUGCUCAUCGCUUCUGUGAGUGGCCACCCACUUUUGGUUUGGCGAGUCUCCUCACAGAUUUUGACCCCCGCUUCCUUUGCAUUCUGAGCUCUCUGACUUACUCAGGACCAAGAGAGGCUUUGUUCUCUCAGGGGAUGGACUUUGUCCUCCCAGUUCAAGGCUCUGUCCUUGGGUUCAAGGUGUCAUCCCUGACUCCACCUCUGGUGCCGUCUUCUUCCUUCCCUUCUGCAUCACCUCUAUUGCUGAAACUUUGGCCACCUGAGCAAGUAAACAACUUAGUCCAUCCACCAGAGACACAAUUUGGAUCCAACUAUUCACUUGAAUUUUGUACCUGAGAAAUGGCUGAAGUUUUUGAAACAAAAGCUGUAAGGUCUCUGUGUCUGUCUAUAUGUUAUGUCUGUCUAUUUUCAUACGUGACAUUUUUCUACCUCCAGAUUGUAUUGCUAAGAUUGAUUUGUAAAAGAGCUCUAUUUAAUUAGCUUGCAAUUAAGCACUUAUAAAUUAAGUAUUCCUAAACCUCAGAAAUAUAAUGGAAAUUAACCCAAUUGUUUUCAAGUUUACAUGCUCUAGGAUUAAUCUUUAGUAAAUAACAUUUAGCUUAAGAUUGUUGUUUUAAUUGAAACAGUCAUGUCUUUAGAGUUAUCAAUGCUGAAUAUAAUGCAGACAUACAACUUUCAAUCUGCCUGAGUUUACUAAGCUCACGUUAUCUCUGUUAGAAAAUUUGUCAGCAAGAAAGUGACUUAACAUGAUGGUUGGUUGUUUAAUGUCAAAUCCAAGCAUGAUUGUUAAAAGCAAGUAACAUAAAUAAAUAUAAAUAAGAUCAAAGCUUAUACUAGGUUAAACUAAAUAAUUGAUCAUUGAAUAGCUAGAUAACUUUUAAAUAAGAUGAACAUUAAUUACUGAACACAGGCUUAUCUACUUUUGGCUUCCUAUUCCAGAGAAACUAAAGAUAUUUGAAUUUAUUGGUGAACAUGUUUUAUGCAACACUGAGAAAUUUUCUAUAAGAAAAGGCACAUUUCUAGAAAUAUAUAAAAGAUAGUUAUAAGUUCUCCAAGCCACAAAAUGCUAAUAUAGUUCACAAUUGCUUACUUAGUUUUUCCCCAGAAAUUAAGGAUUCUAAGAGUUAGGAAUUCUAAUCAGGGCUUGUCCCAGUGGCCUAGUGGUCAAAUUUGGCACACUCUGCUUCAGUGACCCAGGUUCAGUUCCCAGGCAUGGACCUAUACCACCUGUCUA